GGGGGGGGGGGGGGGGGGGCGGGGGGCAGGGGAGGCGAGCGAACGGGCGGGGGGGGUGCUGCUGGGGCGGUAGGGGGGGAGGGGGGAGUAAAGCGUGGGUCGACUGGCGUUAAGACUUGGUGACGUCGGGGCACCGGGGCGGAGACCGGGGAAUAGAGUGAACUGCAUGGUUCAAUGGUGAAAGGCGUUUCGGCUGUCACUGAUCUAGCGAACCGCGCCGCAUGAGCUUGUGGUUAAGGGUACCGCUUAGCCAGGCAACGACGCGUAGCCUACCUGAGAGGGUGAUCGGCCACACUGGAACUGAGACACGGUCCAGACUCCUACGGGAGGCAGCAGUAGGGAAUCUUCCGCAAUGGGCGAAAGCCUGACGGAGCAACGGCGCGUGAGUGAUGAAGGUCUUCGGAUCGUAAACCUCUGUUAUUAGGGAAGAACAAAUGUGUAAGUAACUAUGCACGUCUUGACGGUACCUAAUCAGAAAGCCACGGCUAACUACGUG
RNAcentral lists this ribosomal RNA (496 nucleotides) under uncultured bacterium. RNAcentral describes it as "partial 16S ribosomal RNA". It matches the Rfam family "Bacterial small subunit ribosomal RNA", at positions 39 to 507 of the family's 1533-position model. The record is from RNAcentral.